GAUGAACGCUGGCGGCGUGCCUAAUACAUGCAAGUCGAGCGAACAGACGAGGAGCUUGCUCCUCUGACGUUAGCGGCGGACGGGUGAGUAACACGUGGAUAACCUACCUAUAAGACUGGGAUAACUUCGGGAAACCGGAGCUAAUACCGGAUAAUAUAUUGAACCGCAUGGUUCAAUAGUGAAAGACGGUUUUGCUGUCACUUAUAGCUGGAUCCGCGCCGCAUUAGCUAGUUGGUAAGUUAACGGCUUAUCAAGGCAACGAUGCGUAUCCGACCGGAGAGGGUGAUCGGCCACACUGGAACGGGGACACGGUCCAGACUCCUGCGGGAGGCAGCAGUAGGGAAUCUGCCGCAAUGGGCGGAAGCCUGACGGAGCAACGCCGCGUGAGUGAUGAAGGUCUUCGGAUCGUAAAAAUCUGUUAUUAGGUAAGAACAAAUGUGUAAGUAACUAUGCACGGCUUGACGGUACCGAAUCAGAAAGCCACGGCUAACUACGUG
Molecule: ribosomal RNA, 497 nt
Filed under: uncultured bacterium
Lineage: Bacteria
Description: partial 16S ribosomal RNA
Rfam family: Bacterial small subunit ribosomal RNA
Source: RNAcentral